CCCUUAGAUGUUCUGGGCCGCACGCGCGCUACACUGAACAGUUCAACAAGUCUUAACCUUGGCCGAUAGGUCUGGGUAAUCUUUGAACGCUGUUCGUGAUUGGGAUAGACCUUUGCAAUUAUGGGUCUUCAACGAGGAAUUCCUAGUAAACGCAAGUCAUCAGCUUGCAUUGAUUACGUCCCUGCCCUUUGUACACACCGCCCGUCGCACCUACCGAUUGAAUGGUCCGGUGAAAUCUCGGGACGGCGGCUUGGUCGCUUGCGUCCGACUGCUGAAACUUGAUUAAACCAUAUCAUUUAGAGGAAGGUGANGUCGUNACA
Molecule: ribosomal RNA, 320 nt
Filed under: uncultured eukaryote
Lineage: Eukaryota
Description: partial 18S ribosomal RNA
Rfam family: Eukaryotic small subunit ribosomal RNA
Source: RNAcentral